RNAcentral lists this ribosomal RNA (508 nucleotides) under uncultured bacterium. Its description in RNAcentral is "partial 16S ribosomal RNA". It matches the Rfam family "Bacterial small subunit ribosomal RNA", at positions 899 to 1397 of the family's 1533-position model. The record is from RNAcentral.
ACUCAAAGGAAUUGACGGGGGCCUGCACAAGCGGUGGAGUAUGUGGCUUAAUUCGAUGCAACGCGAAGAACCUUACCUGGCCUUGACAUGCAAGUAGUAGAACCAUGAAAGUGGGACGAGCCCGCAAGGGCAGCUUGCACAGGUGCUGCAUGGCUGUCGUCAGCUCGUGUCGUGAGAUGUUGGGUUAAGUCCCGCAACGAGCGCAACCCUUGUGUCCUGUUGCCACUCCUUCGAGAGAAGGAAGCACUCUGGACAGACUGCCUCGCUUAAACGAGGAGGAAGGUGGGGAUGACGUCAAGUCAGUAUGGCCCUUACGGCCAGGGCUGCACACGUACUACAAUGCAUGGCACAAAGGGAAGCUAGACCGUCAGGUGGAGCAAAUCCCAUAAAACCAUGCCCAGUUCAGAUUGUCGUCUGCAACUCGACGACAUGAAGCCGGAAUCGCUAGUAAUGGCGCAUCAGCUACGGCGCCGUGAAUACGUUCCCAGGCCUUGUACACACCGCCCGU